Molecule: ribosomal RNA, 450 nt
Filed under: uncultured soil bacterium
Lineage: Bacteria
Description: bacterial SSU rRNA
Rfam family: Bacterial small subunit ribosomal RNA
Source: RNAcentral
AGAACGAACGCUGGCGGCAGGCUUAACACAUGCAAGUCGAGCGCCCCGCAAGGGGAGCGGCAGACGGGUGAGUAACGCGUGGGAAUCUACCUAGCUCUUCGGAAUAGCUCCGGGAAACUGGAAUUAAUACCGAGUACGCCCUACGGGGGAAAGAUUUAUCGGAGUUAGAUGAGCCCGCGUUGGAUUAGCUAGUUGGUGGGUAAUGGCCUACCAAGGCGACGAUCCAUAGCUGGUCUGAGAGGAUGAUCAGCCACACUGGGACUGAGACACGGCCCAGACUCCUACGGGAGGCAGCAGUGGGGAAUAGUUGGACAAUGGGCGCAAGCCUGAUCCAGCCAUGCGCGUGAGUGAUGAAGGCCUAGGGUUGUAAGCUCUUUCGAGUGGGAAGAUAAUGACGGUACCACAAGAAGAACGCCCCGGACUAACCGUUCGCGACCCGAGCGACGCCGC